CAAGAAUGCAGCUCAUACAGGUAAAAGCUUUGUACAGGUACCAGAAACAAGAGCAGGAAUCCAGGACACACACUAGUUUUAAGAUCCACGUGAUGGUAAAGAAAGAGUGGAACUGGGGCUUAAAGCCAGAAAAAAAGGACAUCUAUGUGACCUGAUCAGAUGAAAGGAAGGGAAAUGGACCACAGAGUGAAGCGAACUCGACAAGAUUACUCCUAAUACAACCAAUACAAGAUGUUUACGUGGAUGUGUUGCGACAGAUAGGCCAUGCCCUUCACCUGUGCCUGCUUCUGUGGCCUGAACGGCUUCUGCAACAGAAGGAAGAAGAAGAAAAAGGAGCAAGUGGAGGAAGAGAAGGGUGAGGAGGUAGAACGAUGGAAGGAUCAGGAGACGGAGGUGUGACAGCAGCGCUGUCAGCUGCUCUCUCCUCACCUUCACCAGGGUUUUAUCUUUUAAAAGACCGGGAUGUACGACCCAGGUCACUGCUGCUCAGUACAGACUGUUUGGGGAAGCAAACAGGGAUGGGAAGGGGCUUCAGCAUGCACAGACUUUUUGCUGAAAAUCUGAAUUAAUCAGGCAUUUUUGAACCACAUACUGAAUCUGCGACUAAGGCAUUUUCUACUUUUUAAACUCCUUUAUCUCAACAUGCUGUGUGGAGCCAUAUUCCUCAAGAUGAAUCAGAUUGAUGAAAAUAAAAGCCUGUGUACUGUAAGCCUUAGCUGAUCCCCAUUAGCCAUCCCUGCAGCACUCUAAUUUCCCCUUGGCAGCUGACUGAGAACUUUGCUUCUGCUGAUGUGAUUCCAAAAAAACAUUUCUUAUCUGUUUGAUUCAUGUCUUUCCAUAGCUGAUGUACUGUAUGAGGUGCGAAGUGAUGAUGAGCCCUAGAAAUCCAUUAUUUCUCUCAGUCACACCUCUCAGCGACGCCCCAUCUCUCCCUUCUCCUUCUUAAUCGCAGCUCCACUGAGGCUGAAUUGGAACCAAAGCUCGGUGGAGCGCUGCACCUCUUCACCUACCUGCUUAUGUCAGAUCAACUUAGUGAAAACUUCAGCCAAGGGAGAAAGAGUGCAGUAAUUUCCAAAGUCACCCAUGGAGGGCCAGAGCCCAUCUCGGUUUUCACGCUGAGCUGGGCCCAAUCUAAAGCUGAGCAGCUGUCCAAUCAGCAGCUUAGCUGGAGUGUGAAGAUAGGAGUCAAGGGUCAGAAUGAGCAACAGGAUUUGUGAAAUGUCCCUCCUCUGAUGCCUAGUAUGUGUCUCAUUAAUAGGCAGACAAGUAAUUACAAACACACGCACACACUGAUGCAGACUCACCUAUUGAUGUCCCCCGCUGGGAGCGGGGUGUCUGUCUGUAAAUGCCACCGAGGUGCGCUUCCAGCUGUCCCUGCCUGAGUUUAUGACUCUGAAAGCAUGUGUCUGCGUGCUUGUGUUACUUCUUGGCUACAACAAUAGACUUUCAAACCUGAAACAAGUGGUUAAGAUAUCUCUUCUCCAGCAACAUAACUGCCUUCACUAUGCACAUGGAGACAGAAAGACAAAGACACACCAUCACAUACACACACAGGUCUCAUUAACGUGUGUGAUUAUGCAUGGCACGUCCAGUCAGGCAGUGGAGAUGUAAUUAACCUUUUUCAGCAGGAAACAGAUGCCUGGAUGUCACACACAAACACACACACACACACACACACACACACACACAAGUCUGCUGUCAGGGAAACAAAGCCAACGUCACGGUGUCACGGAAACAAAGCCCCAAAAGUGCUGCCUGGCACGCUGUGAUAAUCCCCUAACGCAUAUUUACAUUCAGGGCUUAGAAUACGCCUCGGUGCCGCCAUCUCCACCCACCGCCGCUCUCUGCUCCCACGCCCCUCCUCCACCCAUCCAUCCUCUCUCUCCUCUACAUUUACCUUUCGGUCUUUCACCUGAUUUACCCUUUUCCUUCUGCUAUCUCUUCCUUUCCCAAAACUCGGGUUCAUGUGUUUAUUUCUUAGUGGAUAGUACAUGGCCUUGCAUGGUGGCUCCCAUAGAUUAGCCCACACCCUCUCUGUCUCUGACUCUGAAUAUCAGGGAUUUCUUCAGGCGGGCAAAAAGCUGCUUUAUGUCAGAUUAAUGGACGGCCCUGAUUGUGUCUGUUGGUGUGUGUCUGUGCCUGGGUGGAAUAGAUUGUCUGUUUAGUCAUUCUCCUGCUACAAGCGGUGAAAUGAGACAAAGCUAAAGCCAUUUCACAGUGUAGAGCACCUAUUAUGAUUCACUGUGUUACGACGCAGCCCUAAUGAGAAAGAGAGGGAAUGAGAAGAGGGGUUGGAGGAUAGGAGAGGAAGAGAGAAAAAGACGGUAAUGAGAGCGAGAGUUUGAAACAGAAGAGGGGGGCGAAUGCUAGACAGAGCAGUCAUGCUAAUUGGCUACAGUGGAUAACUUUCUGAAGCAGGGAUGAGUAUUUGUGUGGUGGGUGGGGGGAAGAGAAAAGAACAGCCUGAUCUGUCGGCAUUACACUCGUUUAAUGCUCCCUCCAUUUCACCUCUUUAAUGAGAGGAAUAUUCGCUCCAGUAAUGGUGAAAGACUUGAAAUUGGUAACCAUUUUUUUUCACACACACACACACACACACACACACACACACACACUCGGAGGUGGUAUUGGGGGAGGUUGGUGUUGGCGGAGGUAGGUGUGUGUUUUCCCUCAAGCGCCACAACCCAGUCCUUUAUGGAUCAUGGCAAUUUUCAUGGAUUGUAACUCAAGGACAUCCAGCUAAAAAUAGCAGGGUGGUGCACGACUCCUGCGAUAGCGGGGAGGGGAGGAGGUGUCUGUGUGUGUUUGUGUGUGUGUGGGUGGAGUUAGUGAAAACGAGUCCUGUCGCAUUAGAUUUGGGUCAGAAACGAGGGAAAGGCCAAGGAAGCGGAAGAGUGUUACAGACAGCGGGGAGAUUCAUUACUCUCUGCUCCCUGUACCUCUUGUCCAUCUCCUUCAGCAUCGCGCCGCCCUCCCCCUUCUCUUCGGAAAAGAUGGUGAACUGCUGGAAAUACAAGGGAGAAGUGGCAGGGCAUAGAAGAGAGGGAAGAGCGUAUGUUUAAUGUGAGAGACUGAACCACAGCUAGUUAGAUAAUAUUCUAAGAUUAAUAUAUGUCUUCCUAUAAUGAGUGCAUACUUAAAUUCAUACUAUCAUUCUAUUAAAAGAUCCCAGGAGAGAACAAACUGUAAUAGAAGAGCCUUACUCUUACUCAGAGGGUCUGUUCCAAGUGUAAAGCACGGAACGAUGAUGAACCAGACCACUCUCAUGUCUGCAGGGAAGUGGGAAUUGAUUAGCUUAGCAUAAAGAUUGGAAGCAGACUUUACUCUGGUCGAAUAAGCAUAUAUAUGGUGUAUUGGUUUACCCUCUGUAUCACAUAAGGAAUUGAACCCCAUUACUGUGUCAAUGAUAGGGUUCCUUGUCAAGGAAAUAGGCCCCUAACCACUUAAAGGUGUGUAAGUUUUAGUGACAUCUAGUGGUAAAGAUUGUGAAUUGCAACCGAUUGCUCACUCACCAGUCUACCCCCCUCUUUUCAAGUGAGUAGGAUAGCAACGGUGGCUGACACAGGACAAACCGUGUUGUCUUCUGAGAUAGCUGAGAGUAGUCAGUCAAGAAAUGAGGUCUCUUUAAACAGAUAUAUUAAGAACUUAUGUUUACUUUAAAUAUAAUUAUAUAGUAAAACUAUAUGUUAUUGCAAAUAUUAUUGUUACUUGUUCACAGGGCCAUAACCAGGGUUUAGAAAUUAGUGAGGUCCAGAUUUAAAAAUUUUUAUAUUCUAUUUAAAAAUAGAGCCUGUUUACGGUAAUUCAUACCAAAAUUACAGGUAAACACAAUGAAAGUUAUACACUUAAGUCACAAAAACUAAUGGUCUAUAAUGAAAUACAUACUAAGAGAACUGUUGGCCAAAAUUAUUAAAUCUUGUGGGCAAAGCACUGUUUGGUUGAAGAUACACACAAGCUAUGAUCAAAAAGUACAAACCGGGAAAUCUUGGUAAAAUUAAUCUUCACAACAUGUAUUAGGGCUAAAUGUAUCUUAAAUGUAGCCUACAACUGUCAUCACAGGACCCAAUACAUUAUAUGUUGUAUUGAUGAAUGUUUUCUUUAAUGAUGAGUGUUUUCUUCAACGAUUUACUUUAAUGAUUAAGAGGCUGUUGUCAAUCAUUUAAAGGUUUCCAUGCACGCAAUAAAGUCACAGCUAAUUCGACAUUUAUGCAGCAAAACAAAAACAAUGUAGUUAAUAUUUGACAGGACAGACAGAGGAAACUCUGCCAAGGAAACAGAAUUCAACUUUUAGCCUGUGAAAUGUUUAGAUGCUCUGAUGGAGCUCAGAAUUGAUCAGGAGGACGGCUGCUUUACUCCAAACAGUUUCACUGUAUAAACCUGGACUGUGUGUGAGACCUUUUGGAUGUGUAGAAAAACACAGCAUAUUAUUUAACAGUAGAUCCUGAUGAUCCUGUCGGGAGAUUUAAAUAUGAAGUUAUACUGCGGUGGCUUGUGCAUAAAUGCACACGCUUCACGCUAUUUCACCCACCCAGAAAUUUGAUAAACUUAUUUAUCGCACAAAACUCUGCCCACAAAUAGAAUUGAUGGAGAAACAGUUUUUCAACUUGAAAUGAGGGUUCCAUGGGUGUAAUCAGCUGCAGCUAACAUACCAAAGUAAAUGAAAAACAUCUCAAAAACUAUCACAUCUAGUGCAAGUAUGACCACUGACAUGGAAAAUGUAAGCCUCAAUGUUUCUUUACCACAGUCCACCACAUAAUACAUGAAGUUUACAAACGCAUAGUCACAUGAGGACCAAGGCUCCUCUACACUUUGUUUAAUUAGAUAAGUAAUCUGUAAGUCGUACACCAAGAUGUCUUACAAAUGGUUCUAUACAAUUGAAUCACAAAGUAGUACUAUUAACCAUAAUUUCAGCUUGUGGUAAACUGGUGCAUCAUUUUUAAUUUACCCUGUUAAUUAUUAAAUUACACAUUUGUGUGCACAGCCCCACGACCCUGUACGCAGGAUAAGCGGUUGACAGAUGGAUGGAUGGAUUUGUGUGCACAGUAGCAAAGCAAUAGCCUACAAACAAAUAUGUUUUAAUUUUCAUGCAAAUUCUGAAAGUAUAAGCAUUAUUGGUCACUUGAUAGGCACACGGUCUUGUUAUCAUAAGGCCAUUAGCAGAAAAAAUAAAUAAGUUUUCCACCAGGGCAGUAAUAUGUGAAGUCUAGGUGGCUAUCUGAGCUUCCACGCUGUACAGUUUUAUUGCCAAUAAUAGUCAUCAGCUGUUUGUCUCGUGAACAUAACCGAUACAUUUUGUCCACGUGGCAAAGCCAACACACAGUGCUGGAGAAUAACUAAAUGAAAUUACAAUCCAACUAAAUAUUUUUUCUAGCAGGGCAGUAAAAGUUUAGCUGACUUAUCUGAGCUUUCAUGCUGUAGGCUACAGUUUUAUUGCCAAUAAUAUGAUCAGCCAUUCCAAUGAACGUAAGCGGCACUUUUUUCUGUCCAGCUACCAAAGCCGAAACAUAGCGCUGGAUAUUCAACUGUAUAUUCCACACCACUGACAAGCAAAACACAUUAUUUCUCUCAGUGCUUAUGGCCAGCUUCUAGCUAAAGCUAUCAAAAAACAGUUUUCAUUUGCAUCGCUAGUUGCACUAACUUAAUUACCUGUCACCUACUGUACAUGGUGACGCAACAUGGCAACCUCCAAGUGAGGGGGAUUAUGUAGACAGAAAUGGCUCAUUCUAAGGUAAAUAAAACAUAACGGUUCAUAAUGUACGGUGUACACCACUGAAAACAUAGUUAUGGAUCUUAUAUUGUAUUUCUGUCACUAGAUCUUUAGAAAUAUUGCACACUGAACCUUUAAGUCCCACCGAGGAGUUUAACAUCUAAUGCUCAACUCAUGCAGAAGGAGCUACUUUCAGACACCAAAUGUUAGCCACCAGUGACAUGCCACAGCAACCAGCUACACGUCACCCUUCCAACGAUCUGGAGCCCAUUUCACAAAAGUCAUUUGUGAGUGUUGCUUAAAUGCAAAUCGCUGUUUAUUUUGAUUAGUUAAAAACACAGGAACAUGAACAAUAUGAAUACAAAAGGAGAUUAAAAAAAUCAAAGUAAGUAAAAGUUAGAGAAUAUGCUUUUGAUUGCUGAUAUCCCCCUACUGUCAUCUCAUCACAACUUAGUAGAGUAGGCUGUAGUUCAUUCUUCAUCAUGAAAAUACCAGUUUGACUCUAGGUACACUUACUCAAUCUGAUGAAGACAACUCAUGGUUUUCAUCAGCAGAUGGAGUUCGCUCAGUUUUCAUCAUGGAUCACUCUCGGGUGCUGCAUGAAUCAAAGUUGGCCUUCACAACAACUGAAGAAAUUCUGUUGAUGAAGACAAUGAGAUACUAGUAUGUGGACCUUGAGUUAGAAAUUGCAACUUUUUAAAAUAUUUCAUAUUUUGUAAAAAUCAUAAGCAUUGUUAAUUGGUUCAAACUGGAUAAUCAAACCUAAAGGUACGGUAGAAAAAACAUGUUCAGUCACAUGUGGGUUCUGUAGCUGCAACAUCCCCACUUUGAUACUGGCCAGCAAUCAACCUUGCAUGACAUCACCCCUCUCUUUUGCACAAGUGUCACAUUCAUAUAUUCAAAUAAAGGCAAAUAAAGGAUAAUUUUAAGUUAUCAUCAACUCAGGCAGCAGUGCCACCUACCCUGGCCCUGCUUAUCAGUGGAGGUAACACUCACCAUCUGACAGCUCCCACAAGCAGUUACCUUUCUCCGGGGAAUGGAACCCUCAAGCCUCAGCUCUGGGUGUGUUACUGCGGUACGAUACAGCUCUUUCCCUCCAGCGUGUGCUCCUGUGCAUCAGCCUGUUGUUCCUCCAUUACUUUCUCUCCCACAUCUGUUCUGUUUUUCUUACAAGGAAAGUGAUGGUCCCACCAUGGCUAAUUAGGAGGACUGGGAUGCACUGGUAGACCAGUGAUACGGUCAGGAGGGGAGAGCCAACACUGGCCGCUUAGCGUUCCCACCAGCAUCAGAGGAAGGAACGGGGAAAUGGGAUGCAGAGAGAGGAGAUAAAAACAGAGGGAAGGUGUAUAUAGCGCAGUCGAGACUGUAAUGGGUUUUGUCAGGAGCACCUGUCAGGGUCAAGUUAAAAUGUCUUCAGUGAGAGAGGACAAGAGGGAUGAGAUGAUGGGAGAGUUGGAGUCAGGAUCCCGGUGAGGAGAGGCCCUCAUCCAUGCCAGCCUCACCUGAUUGCCAAUUUGUGCCAGUCUGCAGACAUCAAACACUAAUACAAGCCUCACGCAAACACACCAACGCCACAACUGGAGACGGCCAUACGCAUUCAAUACACACACACACAAGCAUGAACUCAUGCUGACAACCCACCUACGCUGGCUGAUUGGACACAUCAAGCCCCUUAACAAGGUGUUCACGGUGCAGACCUAAGCCAUGUGAUUGGAAGAUAAAACUGCCGCCGUUAAAUAUGUAAUUCUCCCCCAUGUCUGAUGAAAAUAAGGUGCAGCGCUGAUUAGAUUGCUGCCUGCUGUGCCAACCUCGGGUCUGCGCCAUGUUCAUUACCAGCCCACACUCCCCAACCCAACCAAUCCUAUCUCGAUUUGUGUUCUCCUGCAAAACCCCCAAAUACUCUAUUUGUGAUGGAAAAGCAAUUGUGACAGCCUCGAGAGUUGAGGUUGAUGCCUGAGGAGUGAUGAAAUUAAGUCGAGUAAAAUGUAUUUAUAAAUCACAAGCUGCACCUGGCAAUUUAAAGUUUUGACAGCCCCAAAUGGCAUCCAGACGGAACUGAUUGAAAUAGAAAUUCUGUUAAGGCGGUGUCCGUAAAUGUCCCGCUCUCGGUCUGGAGAGGGUGGAGGUGAAGAAGAGCUUCAGCCAUCAUUCUUCAGUGGAUAUUUUAUAGGCUGUAUCAAUAUAUUCAAUUUUAAAUUAUUAUUCCCGGCAAUGUACCAAAACCAAUGGAAUCAAUUAUUAUUUUUCAGAAUUACUUAACAAUUAAGUGUUCCUUUAUGGGUUUAGGAUGUUGUCCUACGUCUUGAGCUAAAUAAGCCAUUUAAAUCCCAUUGGAUUUGAAAACUGCCCUGUUUUUCUUAACUCAUUAGACAUUUUGGAGAUGCAAGUUUUUCACAGAUCAGAGACCUUCAUGGUGGGAAAUACAAUUUAUUUAUUGCUGAAUGGUUAACUAAAGAAAUUAUAUGUUAAAGGGCCACCUCCAUAAAGUUGGGAAAUUAAAGAUUUAAUCUCAAGUACCGUUCAAGCAUUCUAAAUAAAAUUAGACUCGUGACCUCGAUAUUUCUAAAAUGCUGAACCUCCACUGCUAAAACACCAUGAUUUUGUGCCGUGUGAUAAACCAAUAAAUACAAACCCGAAACCAAUGUCUAGUAGUUGGUUGUCAGUUUGGUGAGGAAGAGCUUGUAACAUCCUGACGGUCUAAUGAAUAUAUUUUGUAAGUACAAAUAGAAAUUUGAUACAAAGCACAAAGAAUGAACUCUAGUGAGUGAAAUCCCUUAUGUCUCUCCCUGGUCUCUACCACUGGCUGGAAAAUGAAAAAGAUCUUAAAACACAAGGUAUUCUACCUGCUCAGCUGCCUCGGGUAACAGUAGGCUUGAUUUUGUGGAACAUUUGCUAUUAACAAUUAGGAUCUACAAGUUUUAUUUAACAUAUUAGAGCACUAAAUAUUCACCAGUCUUGAGUGUCAGAAUUUAAACCAGCAGCAGAGUCAAUAGCAACUCUGCCAGCAAAAUACCCAAUUUAUGUCCAGUUCCAGUGCUGAAAACCUGGAGUCUUCCGUUUCAGUGGGCUGAAGGUUAAAGGAGAUGCACACAGAAUCCUCCAUAACAACUUGUGUAACUUGUGUAUCUCAGCUCAUACACCACUUCCAGAGUGUACUUCUCAAAAUGGAAAGAAAUGUAUAUUGAGCUGGACAGAGAAAAACUUUUCUAAUUGGUCGGGGGCUGUGAACAAGUCAGGUGUCCCAGAUAUCUGAAGCCAAUUGACCAUCAAUGGGAGAUAAAUCAAUUUCUCUCCACUUUUUUCCUUAGCCCUUUCUCUUUAUCCCACCCAGCCUUCUGUUCUCUCUCACACUCUCUCAUCCACACAUACUUCCACUUCCACUGGUCGAUACCGGAGCGGGUAUUGAGCAGUGGCUGUGGUCUAAAUGAGAGUUUGAUUUCUUGGGGGGCGUUAGUCCAGUAACCAUGGUGGGUGUUGAGUCGCAGAGACCACUUCACCAAACGCUCACUGAUGAAGUGCGUUCAGCUGGCAGGUGACAAUUCAAAAUAUAAAAAUAUAAUGCAGUACUCAGCAGCUUCUUACUUUUUUGGACAAUGUACAUUUGUUUCUUCUAUGUUCACAUUGCAUUGCAUGUUUUCUUAUUGUGCAAAUAAACCUUUCUUAAAGGUUUCAUAGAAAAUACUCAUAGAAAAUACUGUAUUGUACUGUACUGUGCAGUACUAUUGUACUGCAUAUUUGUAACUUGACCCUGAGGCUGUAGUCCUACAGUCUGACAGCCGAUGUAGUAAGUAUUACCUGAAGGACAUCCACAGGUGAACAGUUCCUGCUGUGCUAAUUGAAAGAGUUUACAAACUGUCAGAUGUCUGAACUGCACACACUUGAAAAAUUUAACAAAAUAAAAUAUCACCAAAUCCCCAGCAGGACUUGGACCUAGAUAUGGAGAUAAAAAUAGAUUCUGAAGAAAUUGACUUUACUAGAAAGAGAAGUGAUCAUUGCAAUGCACACUGUAAGCAUGACUGUAACACAAUAUAUAUAUAUAUAUAUAUAUAUAUAUAUAUAUAUAUAUACAUACAUGUAUAGGCCUAGUGUGUGUGCCAUACAUUGUCUGCCACACACGUUUUGUGCUUUUAUACCACUCACUGUGUGUAAAGUACGGUGCAUGCAUCUUCUCCAAUUAUGAAACCUAAUGACCACAAAGUAUGUGCUACCAUAUUGCCAAAAUGUAGACUACCUGUGGUAUUUUAAUGCAGGCUAAUAAAAAAUGUGCACAUACAUGGGAACAUGGAAAAACAGAAAAAAAAAUCAUUGGUCUCUGAUCGGCGUGACCGCUGACUGAACAGAUAAGGCUCCAGGAUUAACUAAGCCUGGCUGUUAGCCUGGUCUGGAGCAGGCUAGCUGCACAGAAUAAAACACCAUGGUAACUUAAAUUCUACUGCUUUCGUGAAACCGAGUCAGGGCUUAAUUCAGACAGGAUAUCUGGAAAAGCCCGGCUUAAUCCACUAUCUUGGUUUUGUGAAUCAGCCCUCUGAUCUGCUGUUGAACACUUUAUUCUCCUUGAAAAACAAACACGCGCACAGAAAGACAACACAGUCCCGACUGCAUCUUGAGUCAAUUCUCAAUAGUUCAUCAGAGCUUCAAGAAAGUGAAAACUAGCUGGCUGAGUCUAGUUUUCUUCUGAAGCUCUGAUGGAGCCUUUCUGCUCAGGUUGUGUGAGCCUAUUCAUAACAUUUACUAAGCUGCUGAUAUCGUCUAAACCAACAAAAAGCCUGUUAUUGCGAUCCAAUAUGUGGCCAAAGCCGUAGAGCACAUUGCAAACCCCUCUGUGCUUUCCAGAAUCUGUCCAUUAAUGCUGCUUUGCACUGAGCGUCCAGACUUUGAGUUUGUUUGACGGGAUUUGUGAUUGUUCGUAGCAUUUUGCAAAGUCUUUCACCCCUUGUAGCCUUCUGUGCUCGCUGCCACCCGACAACACACACAGCAGCCUGUUUGUGUGCGCCUGAGUGUGUGUAACGCCAUCUCCUCUUUCUAUGGAGUUUUUAUAUUAUUCAUGUCUCUGGGCCUUUGCAACGGGGAACAAGCGAAGCAGAGCUGGAGACAGAAAAAAGGAGGAGGGACCUUUGACAGAGUAGCACUGACGGACAGCUCGACAGUGCAAUACAUAAACAUGAGGUCAGAGAGCCGCAGUGGGAGACGGAGAAGGAAGAAGGAGGAAGAGCAAGAGAAAGUGUAUGAGCAGGGGAAAGACAGAUAUACAGCAUUAGAAAGGUUGUCUCCCACUGACAAGCUCUCACUCUGUUCAGGAAACCCACCAAUCAAUGCACACACACAUCAACCUGUGAGGUAGUGUGUGUGUUUGUGUGUGUGAUGGGGGAGAGGAUGUGCUAGUGGUCUGCGUGCUGCAGGAGAGUCUAUGUUUGAAAUGCAGAGCACGUCAAGAGUCCUAGGGAGCUUCUUUUGCAGCAAAGCCUCAUUAAAGAGACACUUGCCUUAAAGCAAGGAUAUACUGCCAGACCACACACACACACACACACACACUCAACACAACACUAGAGAUUCACUCAGGCUAAGAGAGUGACGCGCACACAGAAGCGGCUUCGGACAAAUUAAAUAAAAAUCUGUGUGAAGAAAUAACAGGAGCAAAUGGAGGAAUAAAUGCGGUGUUGUUAAUGUCCUCAGCUCCAAUCCUUUUUUCCAUUUGCCCUCCAUAUGAAUAAAGUCAUUUGUCCACUGGCAGUGCCUCCCACCAUCUCACACUAAUAUUAUAUUCAUGUAUAUUUGAUUGUGUCAACUCUGUGGAGUUGCUGUAUCUUGUGUGCCUUUUAAAAAUGCAUCUAUGAAUAAAUAAUGUCUGUAUCUGCUGAUUGAAAAAGCCAUAUUGCCAGAAAGCCAUGAUGAAAUGAUAAUGUAAUAUGUGUUCCUGUGUUGAAUAAAGCAAAGCACCCUUCA
Molecule: long non-coding RNA, 11647 nt
Organism: Micropterus salmoides (largemouth bass)
Lineage: Eukaryota; Metazoa; Chordata; Actinopteri; Centrarchiformes; Centrarchidae
Exons: 2
Source: RefSeq, a predicted model, not a curated record